UAAAAGAAGUACACUACAUAUGACGCUGGCUUUACUCUUCUGCGAAUUCCCACAACGAACCCUUCAAUAAAGCCAAAGCAUUAUUCUAUUCGCUGUUAUCCUUCUCGAAUCUCGGCUACUCCUCGGCCUCCUUCGUUUUGGACCGGCCAGAAAACCUGGAUAAUCCACUGUUUCUGUUUCUCUUUUUGCUCACGCUAUUGGUUGCUUCGUAUUGACACCUACCAAUCCAAGCUUUUCUGCACGGAUUUCAAUUCAAUUCAUAUUACAUACCCUAGUUCUAGACUUCUAGUUCAUCAGAGAAGAGCAGGCAAGAUAGUGAGAUACUAUUUAUUUUUAGAAAAGAAUUGAUAUCAAAAGUGAGUGUGAAAUGCUCGUUGAGCUCCUCGAGAGGAAGAAACUAAUUGGAGAGGGUGAGAGACAUAAGCAGAAAUGGUGGUUCGAAAAGUUGGGAAAUACGAGAUCGGCAGGACGAUCGGCGAAGGAACCUUCGCAAAAGUUAAGUUCGCUCAGAACACUGAAACUGGUGAGAGUGUCGCCAUGAAAGUUCUCGAUCGCAACACUAUCAUCAAGCACAAGAUGAUCGACCAGAUUAAGAGGGAGAUAUCCAUCAUGAAGCUAGUCAGACAUCCAUAUGUUGUUCGUCUACAUGAGGUGCUGGCAAGCCGUACAAAGAUAUACAUAAUAUUGGAGUUCAUUACAGGAGGGGAAUUGUUUGAUAAAAUAGUUCACCAAGGGCGGCUAAGUGAAACUGAGUCAAGGAGAUACUUCCAGCAGCUCAUUGAUGGUGUGGAUUAUUGCCACAGUAAGGGUGUCUACCACAGAGAUUUGAAGCCUGAAAAUCUUCUAUUGGAUUCUCAAGGAAAUCUGAAAAUUUCAGAUUUUGGUCUCAGUGCUUUGCCUGCACAGGGAGUUAGCCUCCUCCAUACUACUUGUGGAACCCCUAACUAUGUUGCACCAGAGGUACUUAGCCAUAAGGGCUACAAUGGUGCUGUAGCAGAUGUCUGGUCCUGUGGAGUUAUCCUUUAUGUUUUACUGGCAGGAUAUCUCCCAUUUGAUGAGGUCGAUCUCACCACACUGUACAGUAAGAUUGAGAAAGCAGAGUUUUCCUGCCCAUCUUGGUUUCCAGUAGGAGCGAAAUCCUUAAUUCAUAGAAUUUUGGAUCCAAACCCUGAAACUCGUAUUUGCAUUGAAGAGAUUAGGCGUGAUGAGUGGUUCAGAAAGGGCUAUGUUCCUGUUAGGCUUGUUGAGUAUGAGGAUGUUAACCUGGAUGAUGUAUAUGCUGUUUUUGAUGAUCCUGAGGAACAUCGGGUUAAUGAGCAACCUGGGAAUGAUGAUAUCGGUCCUCUUAUUCUAAAUGCAUUUGACUUAAUAAUUCUCUCUCAAGGGCUGAAUCUUUCAGCACUGUUCAACCGUGGACAGGAUUCUGCAAAGCAUCAGACUCGCUUUAUUUCAAAAAAACCAGCAAAAGUUGUUCUGUCAAGUAUGGAAGUUGUUGCACAAUCCAUGGGCUUCAAGACCCAUAUUCGUAAUUACAAGAUGAGGGUGGAAGGGCUUUCCGCAAAUAAAACCACACAUAUCUCUGUUAUUUUGGAAGUAUUUGGAAUUGCUCCCUCGUUUUUCAUGGUGGACAUUCAGAAAGUAGCUGGAGAUGCAGUUGAAUUUCUUAAGUUCUACAAUAACUUUUGUAGCAAACUUGAGGAUAUCAUCUGGAAACCACCCAAUGAAACAAGCAAGUCGUGGAUCACCAAGAUGACAAAGCGUUGACUUUUGUUUCUUGUAAGCUCAUAUGAGAUUUAACUAUCUAAUUACAAAGAAACUUUCUAAUUCCCACCCUAGAAAAAAAUCGUGCUGAUUUUGGCCAUCUUUUGGCAUUGUAGUCACUUGAUGGUUGUGAGAUGCAGUAGAUAGUUUUUGUUUAUUGCGAGUCAAGGAUAUUAAUCGACUCUCCAAAUCGAUCAAAGUGAAAUUUAUGCAUGUUUAUACUUCAAAGGAAGAACAAUGAAGCUGCUCAUUUGCUCGUUUCCAAAGAUUUUGGAGAUCCUUUGUUACUAGAGAAUCAGCCUCCUUUAUAGCUGCUGGAUGCUCUACAGGAAUGCCUAAGCGUGUAGCUCAGUCGGAUUUUAUGUGAAGUGUGUUGGCCUUGUUUUGUUGUUUCUUUUCAAUUUGUAGGUUACUUGGUAGAUUGUGUGUUUGUGUAUUUAGUAGUGGGUAAUCUGGUUAUAUGUUAUGUAGUUUAAGACUUGAAGA
Molecule: non-coding RNA, 2247 nt
Organism: Nelumbo nucifera (sacred lotus)
Lineage: Eukaryota; Viridiplantae; Streptophyta; Magnoliopsida; Proteales; Nelumbonaceae
Source: RefSeq, a predicted model, not a curated record